Molecule: ribosomal RNA, 601 nt
Filed under: uncultured bacterium
Lineage: Bacteria
Description: bacterial SSU rRNA
Rfam family: Bacterial small subunit ribosomal RNA
Source: RNAcentral
ACUGACGCUAAAGCUCGAAGGUGCGGGUAUCGAACAGGAUUAGAUACCCUGGUAGUCCGCACGGUAAACGAUGGAUGCCCGCUGUUUGCGAUAUACUGUGAGCGGCCAAGAGAAAUCGUUAAGCAUCCCACCUGGGGAGUACGCCGGCAACGGUGAAACUCAAAGGAAUUGACGGGGGCCCGCACAAGCGGAGGAACAUGUGGUUUAAUUCGAUGAUACGCGAGGAACCUUACCCGGGCUUGAACUGCAGGAGAACGAUUCAGAGAUGAUGAGGUCCUUCGGGACUCCUGUGGAGGUGCUGCAUGGUUGUCGUCAGCUCGUGCCGUGAGGUGUCGGCUUAAGUGCCAUAACGAGCGCAACCCUUCUCCGUAGUUGCCAUCAGGUCGAGCUGGGCACUCUGCGGAUACUGCCACCGUAAGGUGUGAGGAAGGUGGGGAUGACGUCAAAUCAGCACGGCCCUUACGUCCGGGGCUACACACGUGUUACAAUGGGAGGUACAGAAGGCCGCGACCCGGCGACGGGAAGCCAAUCCCCAAAUCCUCUCUCAGUUCGGACUGGAGUCUGCAACCCGACUCCACGAAGCUGGAUUCGCUAGUAAUCG